CAGCAGCCGCGGGAAUACGUAGGGUGCAAGCGUUAAUCGGAAUUACUGGGCGUAAAGCGUGCGCAGGCGGUCCGCUAAGACAGAUGUGAAAUCCCCGGGCUUAACCUGGGAACUGCAUUUGUGACUGGCGGGCUAGAGUAUGGCAGAGGGGGGUAGAAUUCCACGUGUAGCAGUGAAAUGCGUAGAGAUGUGGAGGAAUACCGAUGGCGAAGGCGGCGACCUGGUCCAUAACUGACGCUGAGGCGCGAAAGCGUGGGGAGCAAACAGGAUUAGAGACCCGCGUAGUCCCUGUCUCUUAUAC
This 301-nucleotide ribosomal RNA is filed under the name uncultured bacterium. Its description in RNAcentral is "partial 16S ribosomal RNA". It matches the Rfam family "Bacterial small subunit ribosomal RNA", at positions 509 to 807 of the family's 1533-position model. The record is from RNAcentral.